Cinara cedri is the source of this 506-nucleotide non-coding RNA. The record is from the annotation of a GenBank genome assembly. Lineage: Eukaryota; Metazoa; Arthropoda; Insecta; Hemiptera; Aphididae.
GUCACACAGGGUUGCUUAAAGCAUAAGCAUACUCAUAUCUGUACCAUGUUUUUAUCUCAAAUCAAAGAUCAUAAACUAAGAUAUAUUUGUCUUAGCCUGUGAACUCAAUACUUAGCCAUAUUUUUAUCUCAUCACAAUGUCAUUUAAAUACUGACCAGAGAAAAUGUAUAUGGGACAGUUUACUACAUUUAUGUCCCUACAUUCAAAAAUGGUUUUGAAAAAAAAAAGUUACUGGAGCAAUUUUUGUGAACUUGACUGGUAUAUGGCAUGGUUAACUAUAAAUAUAAGUCUUUAAUGCUACACAACAGACAUUUUACAGCAAUACUUAAUAAUAAAUGGAGCCGAUGGAGAAUUCAACCUAAUAAACUACUCCAAAGUAGCAUCUUGUUGGCGCACCUAUCCUCUAUCAUUGGUUUCUAAAUUUUUCUUCAGUAUAUUAUUAGUUAUAAUGAAUUGCGGCAAACUUCAGAUAAAUAUCAUCUAUCACACUAAAAUUGUAUACAUUU